AGAGUUUGAUCCUGGCUCAGGAUGAACGCUGGCGGCGUGCCUAAUACAUGCAAGUCGAACGCUUCACUUCGGUGAAGAGUGGCGAACGGGUGAGUAAUACAUAAGUAACCUGGCAUCUACAGGGGGAUAACUGAUGGAAACGUCAGCUAAGACCGCAUAGGUGUAGAGAUCGCAUGAACUCUAUAUGAAAAGUGCUACGGGACUGGUAGAUGAUGGACUUAUGGCGCAUUAGCUGGUUGGUAGGGUAACGGCCUACCAAGGCGACGAUGCGUAGCCGACCUGAGAGGGUGACCGGCCACACUGGGACUGAGACACGGCCCAGACUCCUACGGGAGGCAGCAGUAGGGAAUUUUCGGCAAUGGGGGAAACCCUGACCGAGCAACGCCGCGUGAAGGAAGAAGUAAUUCGUUAUGUAAACUUCUGUCAUAGAGGAAGAACGGUGGAUAUAGGGAAUGAUAUCCAAGUGACGGUACUCUAUAAGAAAGCCACGGCUAACUACGUGCCAGCAGCCGCGGUAAUACGUAGGUGGCGAGCGUUAUCCGGAAUUAUUGGGCGUAAAGAGGGAGCAGGCGGCACUAAGGGUCUGUGGUGAAAGAUCGAAGCUUAACUUCGGUAAGCCAUGGAAACCGUAGAGCUAGAGUGUGUGAGAGGAUCGUGGAAUUCCAUGUGUAGCGGUGAAAUGCGUAGAUAUAUGGAGGAACACCAGUGGCGAAGGCGACGAUCUGGCGCAUAACUGACGCUCAGUCCCGAAAGCGUGGGGAGCAAAUAGGAUUAGAUACCCUAGUAGUCCACGCCGUAAACGAUGAGUACUAAGUGUUGGGAGUCAAAUCUCAGUGCUGCAGUUAACGCAAUAAGUACUCCGCCUGAGUAGUACGUUCGCAAGAAUGAAACUCAAAGGAAUUGACGGGGGCC
This 912-nucleotide ribosomal RNA is filed under the name human gut metagenome. RNAcentral describes it as "bacterial SSU rRNA". It matches the Rfam family "Bacterial small subunit ribosomal RNA", at positions 8 to 921 of the family's 1533-position model. The record is from RNAcentral.